Molecule: ribosomal RNA, 402 nt
Filed under: bacterium
Lineage: Bacteria
Description: partial 16S ribosomal RNA
Rfam family: Bacterial small subunit ribosomal RNA
Source: RNAcentral
UGGGGAAUUUUGCACAAUGGGGGAAACCCUGAUGCAGCGACGCCGCGUGAUUUAGAAGGCCUUCGGGUUGUAAAAAUCUUUUCUAUGGGAAGAAAAUGACAGUACCAUAGGAAUAAGGACCGGCUAAUUACGUGCCAGCAGCCGCGGUAAUACGUAAGGUCCGAGCGUUGUCCGGAAUCAUUGGGCGUAAAGGGUACGUAGGCGGGUAAGCAAGUUAGAAGUGAGAUCCUAUAGCUCAACUAUAGUAAGCUUUUAAAACUGCUCAUCUUGAGGUAUGGAAGGGAAAGUGGAAUUCCUAGUGUAGCGGUGAAAUGCGCAGAUAUUAGGAGGAAUACCGGUGGCGAAGGCGACUUUCUGGCCAUAACCUGACGCUUAGGUACGAAAGCGUGGGUAGCAAACAGG